CAAGUCGAGCGAUUCUUUGCAGCGUAUCGCAAGGGAUAGCGGCAGACGGGUGAGUAAUACUUGGGCAAUCUGCCCUCGAGAGGGAAACAACCUGCCGAAAGGCGGGCUAAUGUCCCAUAAGACCACAGAAUGGCAUCAUUCAGGGGUCAAAGCUCCGCAAGGGGCGCUUGAGGUGGAGCCCGAGUCCUAUCAUGGUAGUUGGUGAGGUAAUGGCUUACCAAGCCUUUGACGGGUAGCCGGCCUGAAAGGGUGAUCGGCCACACUGGCACUGAGACACGGGCCAGACUCCUACGGGAGGCAGCAGUGGGGAAUUUUGGACAAUGGGGGCAACCCUGAUCCAGCGACGCCGCGUGGAGGACGAAGGUCUUCGGAUUGUAAACUCCUUUUGGAGGGGAUGAAUGUCCUGGUGAAUAGCCAGGAGUGACAGUACUCUCUGAAUAAGCCACGGCUAACUACGUGCCAGCAGCCGCGGUAAUACGUAGGUGGCAAGCGUUACUCGGAAUCACUAGGCGUAAAGCGCAGGUAGGCGGUUCGGUAAGUCUGUUGUGAAAGCUCCCGGCUCAACUGGGAGAGGCCAACGGAAACUACCGGGCUAGAGUGUGGUAGAGGAAGCUGGAAUUCCCGGUGUAGCGGUGAAAUGCGUAGAUAUCGGGAGGAAUACCUAUGGCGAAAGCAGGCUUCUGGGCCAUCACUGACGCUGAGCUGCGAAAGCUAGGGGAGCAAACAGGAUUAGAUACCCUGGUAGUCCUAGCCCUAAACGAUGCUCAUUAGGUGUGAGAGGUAUCGACCCCUUUCGCGCCGAAGUUAACGCAUUAAAUGAGCCGCCUGGGGAGUACGGCCGCAAGGUUGAAACUCAAAGGAAU
Molecule: ribosomal RNA, 863 nt
Filed under: uncultured Nitrospira sp.
Lineage: Bacteria; Pseudomonadati; Nitrospirota; Nitrospiria; Nitrospirales; Nitrospiraceae
Description: bacterial SSU rRNA
Rfam family: Bacterial small subunit ribosomal RNA
Source: RNAcentral